RNAcentral lists this ribosomal RNA (253 nucleotides) under uncultured bacterium. RNAcentral's name for it is "partial 16S ribosomal RNA". It matches the Rfam family "Bacterial small subunit ribosomal RNA", at positions 524 to 776 of the family's 1533-position model. The record is from RNAcentral.
CACGUAGGGCGCAAGCGUUGUCCGGAAUUAUUGGGCGUAAAGAGCUCGUAGGCGGUCUGUUGCGUCCGCUGUGAAAACUCGGGGCUUAACCCCGAGCCUGCAGUGGAUACGGGCAGACUAGAGGUAGGUAGGGGAGAAUGGAAUUCCCGGUGUAGCGGUGAAAUGCGCAGAUAUCGGGAGGAACACCGGUGGCGAAAGCGGCUCUCUGGACCACUACUGACGCUGAGGCGCGAAAGCUAGGGGAGCAAACAGG